Molecule: ribosomal RNA, 484 nt
Filed under: uncultured bacterium
Lineage: Bacteria
Description: partial 16S ribosomal RNA
Rfam family: Bacterial small subunit ribosomal RNA
Source: RNAcentral
AUUGAACGCUGGCGGCAGGCCUAACACAUGCAAGUCGAGCGGAUGAAGGGAGCUUGCUCCUGGAUUCAGCGGCGGACGGGUGAGUAAUGCCUAGGAAUCUGCCUGGUAGUGGGGGAUAACGUCCGGAAACGGGCGCUAAUACCGCAUACGUCCUGAGGGAGAAAGUGGGGGAUCUUCGGACCUCACGCUAUCAGAUGAGCCUAGGUCGGAUUAGCUAGUUGGUGGGGUAAAGGCCUACCAAGGCGACGAUCCGUAACUGGUCUGAGAGGAUGAUCAGUCACACUGGAACGGAGACACGGUCCAGACUCCUACGGGAGGCAGCAGUGGGGAAUAUUGGACAAUGGGCGAAAGCCUGAUCCAGCCAUGCCGCGUGUGUGAAGAAGGUCUUCGGUUUGUAAAGCACUUUAAGUUGGGAGGAAGGGCAGUAAGUUAAUACCUUGCUGUUUUGACGUUACCAACAGAAUAAGCACCGGCUAACUUCGUG